Vicugna pacos (alpaca) is the source of this 1070-nucleotide non-coding RNA. The record is from RefSeq and is a predicted model, not a curated record. Lineage: Eukaryota; Metazoa; Chordata; Mammalia; Artiodactyla; Camelidae.
ACCGCGAGUCCCCGGGUACUAGGCUGAGCGCAUUGUUCUGUUCUCGCAGCGCUCCGGUUAGCGGUUGUCUCUCUCGGUUCACCGCAGCCUGACUGGCUGGGUUCUCAGCCCCUACGGUUACGCGUCCUCGCUCUCUGCCGGAUUACUCCCCUGGGAGAUGCUAGCUGUAUGUCAUGAGGACGCUCAGACGUUACUGUGGAGAGGCUGAUGUGGUGAGGAACUGAGAAGAGGCCUCUUGCCAGCCAUCAGCACUAACCUGUCAGAGGAGGACAUUCAGUCUUGAAAGAAUGGGACAAAAAAUUAAAAGGCCUGUCCAACGACAUUCACUGGCCCAUUGCCUGGGGCACUUUCUGUAAGUCAUCGCAUGUGAGCCUUAUGACAACCUGCCCAUGAGAUGUGACUAUCACCACUUUACCCAUAAAGAAAAACUGAUUCUCUUAGUUCCUUCUUUCACAAAAUGGGAAUAUUAAUUGUUUUUCUCUCCUUUUUGAAGAUUAAAUGAGUUAAUGCACAUUAAGCUACUAGUGUCACUGUACACACCAAGUACUCACAAAUUGUUAGCAAUUACUGUUAUUGCCUUAGAUCUCAACACUAGCAUGUGGCAGGAGAGGGAGGAUUAAAAGCCAGGGCCACCUGAUUUCAGAACCAUGAACUUUUCGCUACGCCUUGACCCCAGGUGGGGAUUUAACAAUAACGCAUGACACAGCAAUAUGAAAUUGCAAUAGGUGCAAAACACAAUGAAGUGUCAAAGGCAGGUUGAGGAAAGAGUAGGAGAUCUGUGCAUUCGUAUUCAGGCAAGGAAGCCACUGAGUGUGAAGCACAAGAUAUAGAAAUAAAAAAUCUGGAUGUUUGGAUGGUGGCUGCUGCUGGGCUUCAGCUUCCAGUCAGGGAGGGUGAAGUGGCCAAGACAAGCACCCUGGCCCCCUGCGCCCUGCUGCUGAAGACCAGGGUGGCGGUGGGAGACAGAGUAGCAGAUAAAACUUGCUUCCUGAUCAGUGACGCAACCAGUGCAUUUCCUGGAGUAUAGAUCCCCACUAUCUUUGAUAACCAUUCUUCUAAUAUUAUGGCAG